Molecule: ribosomal RNA, 422 nt
Filed under: uncultured eukaryote
Lineage: Eukaryota
Description: bacterial SSU rRNA
Rfam family: Eukaryotic small subunit ribosomal RNA
Source: RNAcentral
GUCAUAUGCUUGUCUCAAAGAUUAAGCCAUGCAUGUCUAAGUAUAAACUAACGUUUACUGUAAAACUGCGAACGGCUCAUUACAACAGUCAUAAUUCACUUGAUUGUGAAAGGAGGUUUAUUCAGCCACCAUUAAAUGGAUAACCGUAGUAAUUCUAAGGCUAAUACAUGCUAAAAUCCUUUAAGGAGGAGUAUUUAUUGGAAAAUAUCUUUUUAUACCAUUUUUUGUGUGUGAAUAACAAUAUAACUUAUACUAAUCGUAGAGACACCUUGUGUGUUGACGAUGAUACAAACAAGUUUCUGCCCUAUCAACUUGACGUUUGUGUAUGGGACAAACGUAGUGAUAACGGGUACGGGGAAUCAGGGUUCGAUUCCGGAGAGGGAGCCUGAGAAAUGGCUACCACUUCCAAGGAAGGCAGCAGG